Pungitius pungitius (ninespine stickleback) is the source of this 3795-nucleotide long non-coding RNA. RefSeq lists it as uncharacterized. NCBI's taxonomy places the organism in Eukaryota, Metazoa, Chordata, Actinopteri, Perciformes, Gasterosteidae. The transcript has 2 exons. The record is from RefSeq and is a predicted model, not a curated record.
UGCGGCAACUGUGUGAUGCCAUCAUGUCAAUAUGGACCAAACUCCCUGAGGAAUGCUUCCAGCACCUUGUUGAAUCUAUGCCACGAAGAAUUGAGGCAGUUCUGAAGGCAAAAGGGGGUCCAACCCGUUACUAGCAUGGGGUACCUAAUAAAGUGGCCGGUGAGUGUAUAUGGCUAAACCUCGGGGUCAGUCACUAUGGUAACUGAGCCUGUGGACCUAACUCAACUCAAGGUUUAUUUUCUUAAAUAAACCUUGAGUUUCUUUCAUAGUCUCCUCCCUCUGACACUAGCCCAGCCAAUGACACAGCGCUCUUUCAUUUCCUCAUUCAUUUAAUUACUCCGUAUCGGGCGUAUUAUAGGGCUGUUUCCACAUAUGAACAAAAUAAGAUCUGUUACGUUACAUGGGUGUGUAUUUCAAGCCUGUGUGUAGUGCAUUCUAAGAGUGUAAAAUGUCAUUUUCCCACUGGGAAUUAGUAGAACGUAUGGAUUAUUAUUAGUGUGUAACUAACACUAAUGACACUAUAUUGGAACCGAGCAGCAAUUGUUUCCCACGCCGUUUCUCUUGUCAUUUGCUGUAGUAGCAGGGUUUGCUUUUGUUUGUCAUUAUGGGUUCAUACUCCCCGUACGCAAGCAGAGUUUGUUGAACCUCCUACUUGAAACGGACCCCAGGUGUUGUAGUACAACAAACGUGUUCAUUUACACAACAUAAGACAAGUCCUGUAGAUGGGAGACCUUAGUUGUUUGACUGCCCUCUUGGGCAGGUGUGUACUGACUUCUAUUAAACAUGCGUUUGAAUGUGAUCAGUUAAUUCCGAGAACAACCACUUCCCGAAAUGUUCCCUCUAAAAGAUCUACCACUAUGCAAAUUAGUGAUGGCGUCAUUUAGCGGCGCUUACCCCCACCCCGUUGUUACUUUAUUCACACAAACCACACACAAGCUGUUGUGUUGUGGUGAUUUUGUUGUAGGUUAUUCAUUGUUGUUAUAAAGUUAAAACCAUGACUCAAUCUCAACACACGUAAGACAACUAACUCCCGACUUGUAAAAAUGCAAACUGUUGCCUGCCUAACAGCAACUUCAGUUAUGUGAGAAUUUUCGUACGGUAAGCAUAUAAAUCAUAAUAAUAAGCAAAAGAGGGAAAACGGUAGAUGAAAUCUACUUACUGGGAAAGUAGUAGGCUCUUGCAUUUAAUAUUAUUUUAUGUGUUGGUUUUAUUGCUGUAUCUAUUGUUAUUAUUAUGUAAUUAUAGUGUCUACGUAGCCUAAAAUGUAUUCUUAUUUAGCCUAUACUGUGCCUUGAAAGUAAGCAAAUUAAAUUAAUGUUCCUCUGGAAAUUUACCCUAAUUUCAAACCCUUAUUCACUAUGAGCUGUGUCUAAUUCUAAAUAUCUUUCUACAACUAGAAAAUGCAUUUUCUGCUGAAAAUCAUGAGAAGUCCAGGACUACAGAUCAAUAAAUAUUUUAUUAAACAAUCAACAUAUAAAACAAAUAAUCCUAAUUUUAGAAAAGGAAACUUAAUAAGUUCCUACUUGGAUGUGUAGAGGUCUGCUGCUGCUGCUGUUGUACUUGUUUUGAAUGUGCAGUAAACUUAUUCGGUGCCUGGUGGAUGACUGGGAGUUUGAAAUGGGAGCACUACUUGUUCAUAAUGUGACACACAUAGCUUCCACAUUCCCUGUCGCUCCCUCCAGGAAAUACACAAAACCAAGAUCUGUUACUGAUGGAUUUAUUCCACUUAUGGACAUCUCUCUCCACACCAUCUUCAUACACCUUCGUACACCUUUAUCCACUUGUCCACAUUGGCUUCCACCGUCGAGCUAAAACACAUGUCGACAGGCUUCAAGCUAACAUUGCCCACUCAGAAUGCCAGGAACCUCGGUGUGACACUGGACUCCCAACUCUCCCUGACUGCCAACAUCACAGCGACAACACCAUCCUGUCUCUCUGCUACCGCCAUACGACCACUGCAGCUCAUCCAGAAUGCAGCAGCACGACUGAUCUUCAACCUUCCUUCUGCCACACCACACCACUUCUCCGUUCUCUUCACUGGUUACCAGUGGCUGCCCGCAUCCAGUUCAAAACAUUGGUUCUCACAUACCAUGCUGUAAAUGGAUCGGGUCCACUCUACAUCCAUGACAUGGUGAAACCCUACAUCCCAACCCGCACACUCUGAUCUGCAUCUGCCAAGCUGCUUGUUCCUCCCUCUGAGAGAAAAACACUCAGCGAGAUCGUGACUCUUUGCUGUCCUGGCUCCCAGAUGGUGGAAUGAGUUCUCUGAUGACAUCAGGACUGCAGAGAGCCUCUACAUCUUCCACCGAAAACUCAAGACACACCUCUUUAGACUCUACCUUGACUAAAACACUAACAAAUCGUAGCACUUAAAUUGUACUUAUAAUGGCACUUUUCUAUAACAUGUUUUGAAACUGCUUAUUUGAUGAAAAUUGUACUUUGUUACUUGUUCUUCUGAGUUUGUAUCUCUAUGUGGAAAUGCACUUAUUGUAAGUGGCUUUGGAUAAGAGUCAGCUAAAUGACAUGUAAUGUAACAUCAUGCGAAUGUACUGAACAAAUAUGUAUGUACGACAAAACCUUAAACGGAACAUACCUCACUGGCUGCAGACGACCAAGAGGGAAAUGAAAACAAUUUUAUUCAAAAACUACUUUAUGAGCACUAUGUCUUAAAUUAUUGAUUUAUAACAUUUCAUGCCGCUUCACAUGCUUCUUAAUGACACCAAAAUAUGUCCCCGUGAAACUAAUUAAGUAAACAUAGUUCCUCAAGGGUUCAAGGGUGUUUAUUUGUCAUUACAAUAACAAGUUAUGCAAUGAAAUGCUUAGAUCCCGCCCUCCCCAAUAUUGCAAUACAAUAAUAAAAAAAUGUAAACCCUAUCUACGAAAUAUACAUAAUAUAAAAUAUUAACACAAUACACUAGUAAAAAUAAAAAAUAGAUAGGUGACUGGGAUCAGAAGUGAUCUGCUUGGUUCUACCCUUGCACCUGAGGGUGUGGAGAUCCUGCAUGGAUGGCCACCUGUGAUGCGCUUCGCUCUUUUUAUAACCCUCUGUAAUGCCUUACGGUCGAGGGAGGUACAUCUGCCGCACCAUGCGGUGACACAUGCAGUCAGGAUACUCUCUAUAGUGCACCUGUAGAAAUUGGACAGUAUCCUUGCGUUCAUGCCAAAUCUCCUAUAGAUUAUUAGUAAUGGUAGAAGCGGUAUCAGUUGUAGAAGUACUAGUUUUACUAGUAUUUGAAAGAGCAAUACGUAUUUUAACGAAACUGAUUUAUCCUGAGCUUCAUGGUUAAAUUACAGAUAAUCAUUGCAGCUUUUAUUUUGAAAUGAUGGUAUUGAUUGAGAGACAGAAUAUUUGUUAUUCAAACUAAGAAGUUAUUAAAUGAUGUGCCUCAUCAAACAUUACAGUAAGAAUUCCCUCCAUGGGGGGUUUGUUUUGAAAUGAUGGGAUUGGGUGGGAAAGUGGAAAGAGGGAGGGAGGAAGGGAGAUGUCUCUGUUGACAGAAAGCAUAGCUGUGUCAUGUGACUCCACUAAUAAGCUGUUAUGGUUCAGCUGGCUGAGACCAACUGACAAACUGACAGUGGAGUAUCCAUGGCAACGGAAGGGCUGCUGAAAGGGCAGAGAGAGACAGCGAUUACACACAGAAUCCACACCUCAAACAAAUGUCCCCUGAAGCAUAACUUUAUCCAAAAAAUAAUUUCAUUUUGAGUGACCCAACCGCAUCAGUGUAGUUCACAUGUCUCUCUGUGUUUUAAAACUGCUCAACUAGCAGUUUACAAAACAUGUACCUUCUUUUUUUU